GAGUUUGAUCUUGGCUCAGAACGAACGCUGGCGGCAGGCUUAACACAUGCAAGUCGAACGGGCGUAGCAAUACGUCAGUGGCGCACGGGUGAGUAACGCGUGGAUAUCUGCCUUUUGGUUCGGGAUAACCUUGGGAAACUAGGGCUAAUACCGAAUGGUUCCUACGGGAUAAAGAUUUAUCGCCAAAAGAUGAGUCCGCGUCCGAUUAGCUAGUUGGCGGGGUAACGGCCCACCAAGGCGACGAUCGGUAGCUGGUCUGAGAGGACGAUCAGCCACACUGGGACUGAGACACGGCCCAGACUCCUACGGGAGGCAGCAGUGGGGAAUAUU
RNAcentral lists this ribosomal RNA (330 nucleotides) under uncultured Alphaproteobacteria bacterium. RNAcentral describes it as "bacterial SSU rRNA". It matches the Rfam family "Bacterial small subunit ribosomal RNA", at positions 9 to 365 of the family's 1533-position model. The record is from RNAcentral. Lineage: Bacteria; Pseudomonadati; Pseudomonadota; Alphaproteobacteria.